Molecule: ribosomal RNA, 549 nt
Filed under: Cystobasidium sp. DY31-W1304-IA1
Lineage: Eukaryota; Fungi; Basidiomycota; Cystobasidiomycetes; Cystobasidiales; Cystobasidiaceae
Description: eukaryotic LSU rRNA
Rfam family: 5.8S ribosomal RNA (bases 129-282)
Source: RNAcentral
GGACGUUCUUUUUAGAAGUCCGACCCUUUCAUUUUCUUACACUGUGCACACACUUCUUUUUUACACACACUUUUAACACAUUAGUAUAAGAAUGUAAUAGUCUCUUAAUUGAGCAUAAAUAAAAACAAAACUUUCAGCAACGGAUCUCUUGGCUCUCGCAUCGAUGAAGAACGCAGCGAAUUGCGAUAAGUAAUGUGAAUUGCAGAAUUCAGUGAAUCAUCGAAUCUUUGAACGCACCUUGCACUCUUUGGUAUUCCGAAGAGUAUGUCUGUUUGAGUGUCAUGAAACUCUCAACCCCCCUAUUUUGUAAUGAGAUGGGCGUGGGCUUGGAUUAUGGCUGUCUGUCGGCGUAAUUGCCGGCUCAGCUGAAAUACACGAGCAACCCUAUUGAAAUAGACGGUUUGACUUGGCGUAAUAAUUAUUUCGCUAAGGACGUCUUCUUCAAAUAUAAGAGGUGCUUCUAAUGCGCUUUUUAAAGCAACUUAAGCUUUAGACCUCAAAUCAGUCAGGACUACCCGCUGAACUUAAGCAUAUCAAUAAGCGGAGGAA